CAUGGCACCUGCGGUGAAUCCUGCUCCAUAAGAGCUAUUGGAGGCCUCAGUGCCUGCAGCCUCCUACUUAAGGGGGUUCCCGGUCCAUGGGACCCUAAAGGUUGGCUGCCCCAGGACUCUUCUCCACCUUGUGAGACACUCGAGGGAUUUGGAGCCUGGUUCUGGGCCAUUGUAAGGGCUCUGGUUCUUUUGGUUUUAGGUCUUUGGCGAGCUCUUCAUGGAGGAGCAGAAAAGAUCUUUCCUCCAGGCGGGGCUGCUGGCCAUCCACCACCACCUCCUCCACGUCAGCCAGGCUGGCCUGGUGCUGACCUAUUCCAUCUUGGGGGAAGCCGGCCAGUUGCUAGAGGAUGAGGGGGACAUUACAGCCAACCUCAUGGUCCAACUAUUUAAUAUCAGGGACUUGGGCCAGGUGCCCAAAGCCCUGCAGUGGCUGUGCUCCGUGGGGCAGCAUUGAAGACCCCCCCUCUUUGUAUGACCAGCUCCCACCCCCUGCCGCAGCCUCGCUCCAGGCCCUCCAUCCACCCGCUCCAGCUCUGCCUGCUCCUCCUCCUGAUCUUCCCCAACCCCUCCGAUUUCGACUACAUGGCUUCGACCUUUGCGUGGAUAUGGACUUUGGCUCGUACUUCUGACCACCCGGCUUCGACCUCUGGCCUGGACAUGGACACUGGCUCCGGUUCUGCCUGGACAUACUCAGCACCCGGCAGCAGUAGACAGGCCCCACCAUUAAUCAAACCCUAACCCCGCCCCAUGACACCUUAGUCCCUCCCACCUGUCACCGGAAGUCCCGCCCCAUGCGGGUAUUACUUCGUGGGCAAGGCGGCCACAUGACUGGAAGCCAGGUGUGUCAUGUGACCCCUCUAAGAACUCCUCCCACCACCCUCUACCAAUCAGGAUGGGUUUCCUCCCGGAAGGACCCCCCCAAGAGGAGAUUUGACCAAUCAG
Long non-coding RNA from Mauremys reevesii (Reeves's turtle), 942 nucleotides. RefSeq lists it as uncharacterized. The transcript has 3 exons. NCBI's taxonomy places the organism in Eukaryota, Metazoa, Chordata, Testudines, Geoemydidae. The record is from RefSeq and is a predicted model, not a curated record.